Molecule: ribosomal RNA, 473 nt
Filed under: uncultured Rhodocyclaceae bacterium
Lineage: Bacteria; Pseudomonadati; Pseudomonadota; Betaproteobacteria; Rhodocyclales; Rhodocyclaceae
Description: bacterial SSU rRNA
Rfam family: Bacterial small subunit ribosomal RNA
Source: RNAcentral
UUGACGGGACCCGCACAAGCGGUGGAUGAUGUGGAUUAAUUCGAUGCAACGCGAAAAACCUUACCUACCCUUGACAUGUCCGGAAUCCCGAAGAGAUUUUGGGAGUGCUCGCAAGAGAGCCGGAACACAGGUGCUGCAUGGCUGUCGUCAGCUCGUGUCGUGAGAUGUUGGGUUAAGUCCCGCAACGAGCGCAACCCUUGUCAUUAGUUGCCAUCAUUUGGUUGGGCACUCUAAUGAGACUGCCGGUGACAAACCGGAGGAAGGUGGGGAUGACGUCAAGUCCUCAUGGCCCUUAUGGGUAGGGCUUCACACGUCAUACAAUGGUCGGUACAGAGGGUUGCCAACCCGCGAGGGGGAGCUAAUCCCACAAAGCCGAUCGUAGUCCGGAUCGCAGUCUGCAACUCGACUGCGUGAAGUCGGAAUCGCUAGUAAUCGUGGAUCAGCAUGUCACGGUGAAUACGUUCCCGGGUCUU